Hyla sarda is the source of this 917-nucleotide long non-coding RNA. RefSeq lists it as uncharacterized. The record is from RefSeq and is a predicted model, not a curated record. The transcript has 3 exons. Lineage: Eukaryota; Metazoa; Chordata; Amphibia; Anura; Hylidae.
ACCACCUGUAAGAAAAUCAAGAAAUAACAGAAGUCAACCUCCCAAAUCUAAGGAUACAACCAGGGAACAACAUCAGCAUUUUUUAGAACAGGCCAACUCUACACCCCCAGACGGAGGUCCAAAACAAGGAGGGGCGGAUACCGAAAGAAAAGACCCAAUACAGACCCGCAGAGCGAAGACCAACAAAGCAGCAACACAACAGAAAACCUAGAUGAUAGACUCUCUUCACUUGUGAGCCAUCCCAACCCGGAGUGGAACCCGAAAUAAUCCAUUGGAAUAAUACACUUUUUUACAAGAUGAUUUUUUUCAUCCUUCUGGAAGUUUACAUUUUUAUUUAUUUUUUGUCAAUUUACAGGAUGGGACGCCAUAAGUAAUAGAUUGUGUUAGCCAUUGGUUGCCAGAAUGUAUAAUGCCGGACCCGGAGCGUGCCAACACACUGUGCAAGUACAGAAAAGAAGGUACUGCCCAUACUUGUAAUGGCUGCCGGGAUAUCGGUACUGCACAGCACGCAUGCGCCGUGCAACUUGGCACCUAUUGGCGCAUCAUCCUGUGAAUGGACGUAACUUCCGGCGCAUGGUCCCGUUGGACAUGCGCGUUUGCUUUGUUUACAAGCCGGCUACAAGCGGACACACCAUGGAUACGGGUCCCUCUCCGGAUUGGCUGACCACAUUGUUUAUACAGAAGUACAGGUUGGACAAUUAGAAGUCAUUUGUAUAAUAUUUUUGUUAGUUAUGAAGAUCGGAGAAACGGGAUGUUCUCUAGAAACUCUGUAUAUUGGAUUACUAUGUAACACUUUCUAUUUAUAUACACGAUACUGUUUAUUUCACUAUGUUGUGUUUAUUUAUGUCAUUGUCUGACACACCCAUUGUCACUUUAAGGGUAACUCCCCCUGCCUCUGAGGUUAACUCCUCCUUAUG